Molecule: long non-coding RNA, 1496 nt
Filed under: Mustela putorius furo (domestic ferret)
Lineage: Eukaryota; Metazoa; Chordata; Mammalia; Carnivora; Mustelidae
Description: lncRNA (ENSMPUG00000029592.1)
Source: RNAcentral
GUGUCAUUUACCUGUGCAGGAUGGCAGCGGGAGCCCGUGGCAGGGGGGCCCGGCUCCAUCAAUCGCUCAUUCUGUCUCCGUCCCCUCACCCCACCCCGAUUCUAUCUCUACUAACAGCCGCUUAGCAUACGGAAUCGUCUCGCAGGGAACAGCUCGGGGACAGGAUGCUGAGCCCCAGUGACCCCUCGGGGCGGCCCAGACCUAAGCUGUCGGAGCUGAACCUUCACUUUGGCUGGAUUUGAAGCGAAUAUACAUGUUCGCCGAAUUACUGCGGAAGAAAAGAAGUGGGAGAGAGAGAGGAGGAGGAAGAGGAGGAAAAGGGGGAAGAGGAAGGAGAGAAGGAAGGGAAGAGGUGGCCGUCUAAUGAACCGUUUAGCUCUGGAAGAAACAUGGCACUCCUUGGGGGAUUUUGAAGUUGGUGCGUGCGCGUGCACGCGUGUCUCUGUGCGCGCGCGUCUCUGUGUGUGUGCGCGCAUACAUGCACGUAUCUUUGGGGGCAAAUUUUUGAGAUGGAGACAAAUGAUCUGGAAGCUUUCUUUUUAUGGUUUCAUGAUGAGGCGAGGUCAUUUAAGAAGAGAGGAAUGGUUCGCUCGGCACACCAGUUCAGACUUGGUCAGAGGGCAGGCCUGAAAUUCCAACCCUCUAAUCAUCUUGUUGGUUUGUCCAGCAACAGUCCAAUCCUAAAGCUAUCUGGCAGCCCUGUAAUGAGUCAUCUCGCUAGCGCAAAUUCAUUUCUGGUAGAAAGGGGCUUAUUAUGCAUAACAAGAGGACAUUCUUAUCACUCAAGAUAUUCCUGUAGUAGGUGGGUUCCAACUGGAGCCACCACCAACACCUGCCCACCACCGCCACCCCCCUACCCCAUCCUUACAGGUGCAAGCAGCCCCCAACCUUAGAAAGUGGAUCUGUCUUCCCCUCCCAUGAAUGAGGGCUGGCCGUGUGACUUGCUUGGACAAACAGAAUGCCAAGAAAGUGACAUUCCAAAGUGUUUGAGUCAAGGUUUAUCGCUUUUUCUCUCUUGGAGCACUCUCUUUGGAAGUCAGAGUCAUGCUUUCAGAAAGCUCAGGUGAGAUGUUUGAAUGACCAGACUACAGUGAGAGGGACCCUGAAGGUUGAGGGGCCAUCUUGGAUGUUCCAGCUCCUGCUAAUCUCCUGGCAGAAUAGAGCCCCAUCAGUGACCCCAGCUGUACCAGGUGGGGUGGAAGAAACUCCCAGCUGGACAACUUCCAGCAUUGUGAGAAAUCACAGAUCUUGUAGUUUUAAGCCGUUAAGUUUAGGGCUAUUGGUUAUACAGUAGUAGAGAACUGAAACAUGGAUUCACUGUGACCCUUUUGAUAGUGUAGAGUUUUGGCGACAGAACCUCACAAAAUGCCCUUGCCAGAAACAUCUCAGUCGCACAGUGUUCUGUUACAUAGAGAGGAGUGCCAGAGCGAGGCUCACUGUAAGAAAAAUGGAGAGAAUCACAUCCUGCAUUAAAAAAAUUAUAAUAUGGAGCCCAA